Molecule: ribosomal RNA, 584 nt
Filed under: uncultured bacterium
Lineage: Bacteria
Description: partial 16S ribosomal RNA
Rfam family: Bacterial small subunit ribosomal RNA
Source: RNAcentral
UGGGGAAUCUUCCGCAAUGGACGAAAGUCUGACGGAGCAACGCCGCGUGAGUGAAGAAGGUUUUCGGAUCGUAAAACUCUGUCUUUUGGGGCGAACGUGAGUAUGGUGAACAAUCAUAGUCAGUGACGGUACCAAAGGAGGAAGCCACGGCUAACUACGUGCCAGCAGCCGCGGUAAUACGUAGGUGGCAAGCGUUGUCCGGAAUUAUUGGGCGUAAAGAGCGCGUAGGCGGGAUAGUCAGUCUGUUGUAAAGUGCGGGGCUCAACCCCGUGAUGGCAAUGGAAACAGCUAUUCUUGAGUGCAGGAGAGGAAAGUGGAAUUCCCAGUGUAGCGGUGAAAUGCGUAGAUAUUGGGAGGAACACCAGUGGCGAAGGCGACUUUCUGGACUGUGUCUGACGCUGAGGCGCGAAAGCCAGGGGAGCGAACGGGAUUAGAUACCCCGGUAGUCCUGGCCGUAAACGAUGGGUACUAGGUGUGGGAGGUAUCGACCCCUUCCGUGCCGGAGUUAACGCAAUAAGUACCCCGCCUGGGGAGUACGGUCGCAAGACUGAAACUCAAAGGAAUUGACGGGGUCAUAGCUGUUU